RNAcentral lists this ribosomal RNA (446 nucleotides) under uncultured bacterium. RNAcentral's name for it is "partial 16S ribosomal RNA". It matches the Rfam family "Bacterial small subunit ribosomal RNA", at positions 338 to 795 of the family's 1533-position model. The record is from RNAcentral.
CCUACGGGAGGCAGCAGUCGAGAAUCAUUCACAAUGGGGGAAACCCUGAUGGUGCGACGCCGCGUGGGGGAAUGAAGGUCUUCGGAUUGUAAACCCCUGUCAUGUGGGAGCAAAUUAAAAAGAUAGUACCACAAGAGGAAGAGACGGCUAACUCUGUGCCAGCAGCCGCGGUAAUACAGAGGUCUCAAGCGUUGUUCGGAAUCACUGGGCGUAAAGGGUGCGUAGGCUGUUUCGUAAGGCGGGUGUGAAAGGCGCGGGCUCAACCCGCGGACGGCACAUGAGACUGCGAGACUAGAGUAAUGGAGGGGGAACCGGAAUUCUCGGUGUAGCAGUGAAAUGCGUAGAUAUCGAGAGGAACACUCGUGGCGAAGGCGGGUUCCUGGACAUUAACUGACGCUGAGGCACGAAGGCCAGGGGAGCGAAAGGGAUUAGAUACCCUUGUAGUC